Molecule: non-coding RNA, 73 nt
Filed under: Limimaricola hongkongensis DSM 17492
Lineage: Bacteria; Pseudomonadati; Pseudomonadota; Alphaproteobacteria; Rhodobacterales; Paracoccaceae
Description: Loktanella hongkongensis DSM 17492 Singlet oxygen resistance RNA X
Rfam family: Singlet oxygen resistance RNA X
About the family: SorX (RSs2461)like SorY is a singlet oxygen induced sRNA that counteracts oxidative stress by targeting mRNA for a transporter in Rhodobacter. It also has an impact on resistance against organic hydroperoxides.
Source: Rfam by way of RNAcentral
AACCCCUUGUGGCGGGGUCAUGCCACAUACCUCCCUGUUGGACUUGGCCGGGCCUUCGUGCCCGGCUUUUUUU